UUUCCGUAGGUGAACCUGCGGAAGGAUCAUUAAUGAAACUAGGACGCUCUUUUUAGAGGUCCAACCCUUCAUUUUCCAACACUGUGCACACACACUACUUUUUACACCCAUUUUUAACACUAUAAGUUACCAGAAUGUCAUAGUCUCUUAAUUGAGCAUAAAACAAUAAUAAAACUUUCGGCAACGGAUCUCUUGGCUCUCGCAUCGAUGAAGAACGCAGC
RNAcentral lists this unclassified non-coding RNA (221 nucleotides) under uncultured fungus. Its description in RNAcentral is "sequence contains ITS1, 5.8S rRNA gene". The stretch from base 173 to 221 matches the Rfam family "5.8S ribosomal RNA", at positions 1 to 49 of the family's 154-position model. The record is from RNAcentral. Lineage: Eukaryota; Fungi.